CCGAACAGAAAAAAAACAUAAGAGAUGUGGGUUGCGAAUGGUCACACUGGUCACGCGCUCGCCUUUGGGCGAUAUAAACAAAUGCGUAAAACAAUUAACGGAAUAGCGGGUGGCAGGAGGAGGAGGUGAGAUCUUUCUCGGUGUGUGCAAAAGUGCAGACUGAUUGUGAAAAUGACAAACAUAAACAAAGAGAGCUAAUUCAAACAGAAAUCGGAUGAGUCCGCUCGCAGGGGAUGGCAACUGUGUAGGGAUGAAACGUGGUACUCACGACUAUCGAGGGAAAAAGGACUAUUCUCAGCGAGCCGGUCUUGGCCGUAAUUUUAAUCAGAAUAAGCAAUAUCUAUAAAUAUGUUUAAAUGCAUAAUGUAUUUCAAAUAAAUAUGAAUUAAAUUUAAAA
This is a long non-coding RNA of Drosophila ananassae, 397 nucleotides long. RefSeq lists it as uncharacterized. NCBI's taxonomy places the organism in Eukaryota, Metazoa, Arthropoda, Insecta, Diptera, Drosophilidae. The transcript has 2 exons. The record is from RefSeq and is a predicted model, not a curated record.